UGUGUGGAAAUGAUAAGCUACAAAUGAAGCUGAGAUCUGAUGGUGGAAUAAAGGCCUUGCUGGGAAUGGUGAGAUGCGGACAUCCUGAUGUUCUCUCUCAAGUGGCACGUGGGAUUGCAAACUUUGCAAAAUGUGAGUCACGAACAUCCAUGCAAGGAAUGAAAGGUGGCAGAUCCCUCCUCAUAGAAGAUGGUGCACUUCCAUGGAUUGUACAGAAUGCUAAUAACGAAGCUGCACCAAUCAGACGCCACAGUGAGCUUGCCCUGUGCCACUUGGCACAGCAUGAAGUAAAUGCAAAGGACAUGGUUAGAUGGUUAGCGGAGGUGCACUGUGGGAGCUAGUUCGCAUCUCACGGGACUGUUCUCGAGAUGACAUAAGAAGUCUUGCUCGCCGAACUUUGAAUUCAAGCCCCACCUUCAGAUCUGAAAUGCGACGAUUACGGAUAGAGUGUUGACUAUAGGAUUAAUUUCUGGCAUCGAGAUGCUAAGGAAUCUUGCUUCACGAUUCUGCAAAGCUUCAUAAAAAAACCCAUACUAACAUCAUGCUGAAUGAAAAGCACAUUGUUUAAGUUGUAAUCCUGUCAGCAAUUUUUGUGCGAAGAGGCAAGGUGUGAUUUUCUAAUCUGUUAUAUCCGGUUUCUAUGUCGAGCUAUCAAAUUAAUAUUCAUUUCUGGACGACAAAAGAAAAGGCAGAGGAGGAAGAGAGGGAGUAAAGAAAAUUCUGGGAGAUGGUUUUGUAACUGGAGGAGCUAGGCGGAAUUCUUUGCACGUCUUAGCUUAGAUGGGAAUCAGCUGAAUUUCAGGCUUCAGUCAGCAGCUUUGUAUAUUGAUCCGUAAUAGUAACAUCUUAAUUUUAUUCUUCAAAUUUAAUCAAACCAACCCAGACAUUGAAUGGAAGUUCGCAA
This 904-nucleotide unclassified non-coding RNA is filed under the name Hevea brasiliensis (rubber tree). Lineage: Eukaryota; Viridiplantae; Streptophyta; Magnoliopsida; Malpighiales; Euphorbiaceae. The record is from RNAcentral.